RNAcentral lists this unclassified non-coding RNA (162 nucleotides) under uncultured Microcera. RNAcentral's name for it is "sequence contains ITS2". Lineage: Eukaryota; Fungi; Ascomycota; Sordariomycetes; Hypocreales; Nectriaceae. The record is from RNAcentral.
CAACCCUCAAGCCCCCGGGCUUGGUGUUGGGGUUCGGCCCGCCCUUAGCGGCGCGCCGUCCCCGAAAUCUAGUGGCGGUCUCGCGAUAGCCUCCUCUGCGUAGUAGCAAUAUCUCGCACUGGGACUGAGCAAGGCCACGCCGUUAAACCCCCCACUUCUGAA